CCUACGGGUGACAGCAGUGAGGAAUAUUGGUCAAUGGACGAGAGUCUGAACCAGCCAAGUAGCGUGAAGGAUGACUGCCCUAUGGGUUGUAAACUUCUUUUAUAUGGGAAUAAAACAGGGUAUGUAUACCCUCUUGUAUGUACCAUAUGAAUAAGGAUCGGCUAACUCCGUGCCAGCAGCCGCGGUAAUACGGAGGAUCCGAGCGUUAUCCGGAUUAAUUGGGUUUAAAGGGAGCGUAGGCGGAUUGUUAAGUCAGGUGUGAAAGUUUGCGGCUCAACCGUAAAAUAGCAGUUGAAACUGGCAGUCUUGAGUACAGGAGAGGUGUGCGGAAUGCGUGGUGUAGCGGUGAAAUGCUUAGAUAUCACGAAGAACUCCGAUUGCGAAGGCAGCUCACUGGCCUGCAACUGACGCUGAUGCUCGAAAGUGUGGGUAUCAAACAGGAUUAGAUACCCGUGUAGUC
This 460-nucleotide ribosomal RNA is filed under the name uncultured bacterium. Its description in RNAcentral is "partial 16S ribosomal RNA". It matches the Rfam family "Bacterial small subunit ribosomal RNA", at positions 338 to 795 of the family's 1533-position model. The record is from RNAcentral.